UAGGGAAUCUUCCGCAAUGGGCGAAAGCCUGACGGAGCAACGCCGCGUGAGUGAAGAAGGAUUUCGGUUCGUAAAGCUCUGUUGUUAGGGAAGAAUGAUUAUGUAGUAACUAUACAUAGUAGAGACGGUACCUAACCAGAAAGCCACGGCUAACUACGUGCCAGCAGCCGCGGUAAUACGUAGGUGUGGCAAGCGUUUGUCCGGAAUUAUUGGGCGUAAAGCGCGCGCAGGUGGUUUAAUAAGUCUGAUGUGAAAGCCCACGGCUCAACCGUGGAGGGUCAUUGGAAACUGUUAAACUUGAGUGCAGGAGAGAAAAGUGGAAUUCCUAGUGUAGCGGUGAAAUGCGUAGAGAUUAGGAGGAACACCAGUGGCGAAGGCGGCUUUUUGGCCUGUAACUGACACUGAGGCGCGAAAGCGUGGGGAGCAAACAGGAUUAGAUACCCUGGUAGUCCACGCCGUAAACGAUGAGUGCUAAGUGUUGGUCUCAUAAGAGAUCAGUGCUGCAGCUAACGCAUUAAGCACUCCGCCUGGGGAGUACGACCGCAAGGUUG
RNAcentral lists this ribosomal RNA (551 nucleotides) under uncultured bacterium. Its description in RNAcentral is "bacterial SSU rRNA". It matches the Rfam family "Bacterial small subunit ribosomal RNA", at positions 355 to 896 of the family's 1533-position model. The record is from RNAcentral.